AAAGAAACCAACAGGGAUUGCCCUAGUAACGGCGAGUGAAGCGGCAACAGCUCAAAUUUGAAAUCUGGCUCUCGGGCCCGAGUUGUAAUUUGUAGAGGAUGCUUUUGAUGCGGUGCCUUCCGAGUUCCCUGGAACGGGACGCCAUAGAGGGUGAGAGCCCCGUCUGGUUGGAUGCCAAAUCUCUGUAAAGCUCCUUCGACGAGUCGAGUAGUUUGGGAAUGCUGCUCUAAAUGGGAGGUAUAUGUCUUCUAAAGCUAAAUACCGGCCAGAGACCGAUAGCGCACAAGUAGAGUGAUCGAAAGAUGAAAAGCACUUUGAAAAGAGAGUUAAAAAGUACGUGAAAUUGUUGAAAGGGAAGCGUUUAUGACCAGACUUGGGCUUGGUUAAUCAUCUGGGGUUCUCCCCAGUGCACUUUUCCAGUCCAGGCCAGCAUCAGUUUUCGCCGGGGGAUAAAGGCUUCGGGAAUGUGGCUCUCUCCGGGGAGUGUUAUAGCCCGUUGCGUAAUACCCUGGCGGGGACUGAGGUUCGCGCAUCUGCAAGGA
This 542-nucleotide ribosomal RNA is filed under the name Hypocreales sp. BT1-2. Its description in RNAcentral is "eukaryotic LSU rRNA". It matches the Rfam family "Eukaryotic large subunit ribosomal RNA", at positions 58 to 611 of the family's 3401-position model. Lineage: Eukaryota; Fungi; Ascomycota; Sordariomycetes; Hypocreales. The record is from RNAcentral.